Molecule: ribosomal RNA, 466 nt
Filed under: uncultured bacterium
Lineage: Bacteria
Description: partial 16S ribosomal RNA
Rfam family: Bacterial small subunit ribosomal RNA
Source: RNAcentral
GACGAACGCUGGCGGCGUGCUUAACACAUGCAAGUCGAACGGAAAGGCCCUGCUUUUGUGGGGUGCUCGAGUGGCGAACGGGUGAGUAACACGUGAGUAACCUGCCCUUGACUUUGGGAUAACUUCAGGAAACUGGGGCUAAUACCGGAUAGGAGCUCCUGCUGCAUGGUGGGGGUUGGAAAGUUUCGGCGGUUGGGGAUGGACUCACGGCUUAUCAGCUUGUUGGUGGGGUAGUGGCUUACCAAGGCUUUGACGGGUAGCCGGCCUGAGAGGGUGACCGGCCACAUUGGGACUGAGAUACGGCCCAGACUCCUACGGGAGGCAGCAGUGGGGAAUAUUGCACAAUGGGCGGAAGCCUGAUGCAGCAACGCCGCGUGCGGGAUGACGGCCUUCGGGUUGUAAACCGCUUUCGCCUGUGACGAAGCGUGAGUGACGGUAAUGGGUAAAGAAGCACCGGCUAACUACG